GAUCAAAUUCAAAUUCGCGUAGCACUCUAGAAUCUUUGCUGAGUUUGCUCCUUUUCAACUGCAGUCACCAGUGACUUCAACCGUCACUUUUCUGUCAUGCCUCUGACUGAAUGUGUAGCUGCUAAGCUGUACAAACUCUGCCGUCAUCAUAUCCCAGGUGGUGUGUUGUGAGGACUGCUGCCCUAAGAACACUGAGUGCAUUCUGGAAUAUUCCAAAUGUGUGCCACGUCCAAGCUCGCAAGAGAGUUCACUCACCAGGUGGCAGCAGUGCGGUGAAGGCAGAGUGGCAGCAGAGCUGGCCUAAACAAAAUAGUCUUCAGUCCUUGGAACCGCACCUGGCUCUUUGGCCCCAAGAACAAACCUUCCGUCAUAGGUGCCUCUGAUAGUGCAUCACUCACAAGAAUGGUAACAAGAAUGCACUUAAAGA
Long non-coding RNA from Alosa sapidissima (American shad), 427 nucleotides. RefSeq lists it as uncharacterized. Lineage: Eukaryota; Metazoa; Chordata; Actinopteri; Clupeiformes; Clupeidae. The transcript has 3 exons. The record is from RefSeq and is a predicted model, not a curated record.